RNAcentral lists this ribosomal RNA (119 nucleotides) under Pteropus alecto (black flying fox). The record is from RNAcentral. Lineage: Eukaryota; Metazoa; Chordata; Mammalia; Chiroptera; Pteropodidae.
GUCUAUGGCCAUGCCACCCUGAACAAGCCCGAUCCCUUCUGAUCUCGGAAGCUAAGCAGGGUCAGGCCUGGUUCGUACUUGGAUGGAAGAUCACCUAGGAAGACCAGGUGCUAUAGAUG